UACGUAGGGUGCAAGCGUUAUUCGGAAUCACUGGGCGUAAAGGGCGCGCAGGCGGUUUUGUAAGUCUAAAGUGAAAUCCUUGGGCUUAACCCAAAGGCUGCUUUGGAUACUGCAAAACUCGAGUUCGGGAAAAGCAAGCGGAAUUCCUGGUGAAGGGGUGAAAUCCGUAGAUAUCAGGAAGAACACCAGUGGCGAAAGCGGCUUGCUAGAAAGCAACUGACGCUUAGGCGCGAAAGCGUGGGGAGCAAACAGG
This 253-nucleotide ribosomal RNA is filed under the name uncultured bacterium. RNAcentral's name for it is "partial 16S ribosomal RNA". It matches the Rfam family "Bacterial small subunit ribosomal RNA", at positions 524 to 776 of the family's 1533-position model. The record is from RNAcentral.